ACGAACGCUGGCGGCGUGCCUAAUACAUGCCAGUAGAACGCACAGUUUAUACCGUAGCUUGCUACACCAUAAACUGUGAGUUGCGAACGGGUGAGUAACGCGUAGGUAACCUGCCUGGUAGCGGGGGAUAACUAUUGGAAACGAUAGCUAAUACCGCAUAAUAUUGAUUAUUGCAUGAUAAUUGAUUGAAAGAUGCUAUUGCAUCACUACCAGAUGGACCUGCGUUGUAUUAGCUAGUAGGUGAGGUAACGGCUCACCUAGGCGACGAUACAUAGCCGACCUGAGAGGGUGAUCGGCCACACUGGGACUGAGACACGGCCCAGACUCCUACGGGAGGCAGCAGUAGGGAAUCUUCGGCAAUGGACGAAAGUCUGACCGAGCAACGCCGCGUGAGUGAAGAAGGUUUUCGGAUCGUAAAGCUCUGUUGUAAGAGAAGAACGGGUGUGAGAGUGGAAAGUUCACACUGUGACGGUAUCUUACCAGAAAGGGACGGCUAACUACGUG
RNAcentral lists this ribosomal RNA (504 nucleotides) under uncultured bacterium. RNAcentral describes it as "partial 16S ribosomal RNA". It matches the Rfam family "Bacterial small subunit ribosomal RNA", at positions 29 to 507 of the family's 1533-position model. The record is from RNAcentral.